GCUAAGGAAGCUCCCUGACACAGCAAACCAUGGCUGCAGUACACAAGUGUGCUACAGCCCAAUCCUGGACAUAUGGUCGUUACCAAAACCCCAGUCAUCUUCUUGAAGGAGCCUUAGUAUAGGAAACCAGAGGGUCAAGACCCAGGUAAGCUGGCCCGUGAGGCGUGGUUCCCAUCGCCAGGAGACAACAGCCGCGCUGACCAGCUGCUGGCAAUUUCUUCGGUCACCCUGCCUCUCAACUUCCAAAGCCCCAUGGUUUUCGGGUUUACCCACAUAUGACCCUUAUGUAAAUUUGCUUGUCCC
This 303-nucleotide long non-coding RNA is filed under the name Homo sapiens (human). RNAcentral's name for it is "HSALNT0258097". Lineage: Eukaryota; Metazoa; Chordata; Mammalia; Primates; Hominidae. The record is from RNAcentral.